Molecule: small RNA, 17 nt
Filed under: Arabidopsis thaliana (thale cress)
Lineage: Eukaryota; Viridiplantae; Streptophyta; Magnoliopsida; Brassicales; Brassicaceae
Description: ATSL182480
Source: RNAcentral
AGAGAAGAGAGAGAAAC